Molecule: long non-coding RNA, 1251 nt
Organism: Tachysurus fulvidraco (yellow catfish)
Lineage: Eukaryota; Metazoa; Chordata; Actinopteri; Siluriformes; Bagridae
Exons: 3
Source: RefSeq, a predicted model, not a curated record
GGAUUUGAUUUAAAUCUUUAAACAUUCCUUUAAAAGCUAACUACAUUUAUUUUCAUUUUUGUUGAAGAGCUUUUUAUUUUUUUAUUUAUUGUUUAGCUUGUCCUAUGCUAAACCUAUUCUAAACCAUGUUCUUUCUUGCUCAAUUCCUUACAGAUGUAAGCCAGGGAACCAUCUACCAUGUGACUUACCCUCCCUAGCCUGUGAAGUCAGUUAAAUCCAAAAGGUUGUUGCCAAUAUGAAGCAGCAGUCCUCCAUUAAUAAUAUUUAGGAAGCUUGAGAAUAAGCACCAGAUACAGUAAGCUGUGGUAACCAUUUUGUUGAGUGGUUGAUGAACCAUCUACUGCUCAAUGUGGCCAAGACCAAGGAGAUGGUGGUUGACUUCAGGAGGAAAUGUGAAUUGUUUGAAGAAGAUCAGGUCCUUUAAUGUUUGCAGCCAUCUGGAUACCUUCUACCAGUCUGUUUGUGGCACAGCAAGAUAUAUUUCUACAUGCUCUCCCCAAUUUGGUCAUCUACCAUUUCCCACCCACUAGCAAGGUCUUCCCUAACAUGAAAGUUACCAGCUGCCUUUAAGAAAAAAACUUUUUUUCUUAAAGGCACAUGAAGCCUACUGCAUCUUUUUCAAAUUCUGCUCAUGCUGAAGGAAGAAACCAGACUCAGAAGGGAACCCAUCCUCAUUUGGCUCAGGUGUCAUUGGGCAUCGUGGCAGGAUACACUAUAGAAGGAGUGCUAACCCAUCGCAAGGCACACAAGGAAACCGGAGUACCAGGAGGAAACCCCCGAGGCACAGGGAGAACAUGCAAACUCCACACACAAGGCGGAGGCGGGAAUCUAACCCCCAAACCCAGAGGCGUGAGGCAAACGUGCUAACCACUAAGCCACCGUGAACUCUUCCAGUGAACAAUAAACUCAAAAUCGUAUCAUUAAUUUAUUUCAUUUGUUUCAGUAACUAUUUUAUUGUGGUCAUUGCUGCAUUAAAUCCAAGUCCAGGAAAACUAGGUUUGAAGUGGGAAUACAUCACCACAUGGAACUAUGUACACUCUCAUUUACACAUGGGUCAUCAAUCCAUGUUCUUACAUGUUUUUGAACAGUGGGAGGAAAACAGUAACCUAGGAUAGUAACCAACACUCAGGAUGCUAGUCCACUGCAGGGACCAUACACAAAGACACACCUGCUCUUUCACACAUAGUGGCAAUUUGAGACUUGCUAACACACUGGCAUUUUGCAGGUGGGAGAAAACCAAAGAACCCAGAA